UUGAACGCUGGCGGCAGGCCUAACACAUGCAAGUCGAGCGGAUGAAGGGAGCUUGCUCCUGGAUUCAGCGGCGGACGGGUGAGUAAUGCCUAGGAAUCUGCCUGGUAGUGGGGGAUAACGUCCGGAAACGGGCGCUAAUACCGCAUACGUCCUGAGGGAGAAAGUGGGGGAUCUUCGGACCUCACGCUAUCAGAUGAGCCUAGGUCGGAUUAGCUAGUUGGUGUGGUAAAGGCCUACCAAGGCGACGAUCCGUAACUGGUCUGAGAGGAUGAUCAGUCACACUGGAACUGAGACACGGUCAAGACUCCUACGGGAGGCAGCAGUGGGGAAUAUUGGACAAUGGGCGAAAGACUGAUCCAGCAAUGCCGCGUGUGUGAAGAAGGUCUUCGGAUUGUAAAGCACUUUAAGUUGGGAGGAAGGGCAGUAAGUUAAUACCUUACUGUUUUGACGUUACCAACAGAAUAAGCACCGGCUAACUUCGUG
RNAcentral lists this ribosomal RNA (483 nucleotides) under uncultured bacterium. RNAcentral's name for it is "partial 16S ribosomal RNA". It matches the Rfam family "Bacterial small subunit ribosomal RNA", at positions 30 to 507 of the family's 1533-position model. The record is from RNAcentral.